GACGAACGCUGGCGGCGUGCUUAACACAUGCAAGUCGAACGAUGAAGAAAAGAAUUGAAGCUUCGGCAGAAAUUCAUUUCGGAUUAGUGGCAGACGGGUGAGUAACGCGUGAGCAACCUACCUCUUACAAAGGGAUAGCCUCGGGAAACCGGGAUUAAUACCAUAUAACAUUGCGACGAAGCAUUUCGAUGCAAUCAAAGCUACGGCGGUAAGAGAUGGGCUCGCGUCCCAUUAACCAGAUGGGGAGGUAACGGCUCACCAUAGUAACGAUGGGUAACCGGCCUGAGAGGGUGAACGGUCACACUGGAACUGAGACACGGUCCAGACUCCUACGGGAGGCAGCAGUGGGGAAUAUUGCACAAUGGAGGGAACUCUGAUGCAGCGACGCCGCGUGAGUGAUGAAGGAAUUCGUUUCGUAAAACUCUGUUCUAUGGGAAGAAAAGGACUGUACCAUAGGAGAAAGCUCCGGCUAAAUACGUG
Molecule: ribosomal RNA, 480 nt
Filed under: uncultured bacterium
Lineage: Bacteria
Description: partial 16S ribosomal RNA
Rfam family: Bacterial small subunit ribosomal RNA
Source: RNAcentral